Molecule: ribosomal RNA, 497 nt
Filed under: uncultured bacterium
Lineage: Bacteria
Description: partial 16S ribosomal RNA
Rfam family: Bacterial small subunit ribosomal RNA
Source: RNAcentral
GAUGAACGCUGGCGGCGUGCCUAAUACAUGCAAGUCGAGCGAACAGAUGAGGAGCUUGCUCCUCUGACGUUAUCGGCGGACGGGUGAGUAACACGUGGAUAACCUACCUAUAAGACUGGGAUAACUUCGGGAAACCGGAGCUAAUACCGGAUAAUAUAUUGAACCGCAUGGUUCAAUAGUGAAAGACGGUUUUGCUGUCACUUAUAGAUGGAUCCGCGCCGCAUUAGCUAGUUGGUAAGGUAACGGCUUACCAAGGCAACGAUGCGUAGCCGACCUGAGAGGGUGGUCGGCCACACUGGAACUGAGACACGGUCCAGACUCCUACGGGAGGCAGCAGUAGGGAAUCUUCCGCAAUGGGCGAAAGCCUGACGGAGCAACGCCGCGUGAGUGAUGAAGGUCUUCGGAUCGUAAAACUCUGUUAUUAGGGAAGAACAAAUGUGUAAGUAACUAUGCACGUCUUGACGGUACCUAAUCAGAAAGCCACGGCUAACUACGUG